This is a long non-coding RNA of Vicia villosa (hairy vetch), 1391 nucleotides long. RefSeq lists it as uncharacterized. The record is from RefSeq and is a predicted model, not a curated record. The transcript is spliced from 2 exons. NCBI's taxonomy places the organism in Eukaryota, Viridiplantae, Streptophyta, Magnoliopsida, Fabales, Fabaceae.
CCUGAAGCCAGAGGCCCACAUGCUUUUGUUUCAGUUCUUUGGAGGCAGAGGGAGUGCAAGAGUACUUUGGAUGGUUGAUAAGUGCGUGCCGGCCACCUUCCCGCCGUGUCGGGAGUCGCUUCCGGCGGCGAGACAUCCACCAAUCAACUCCUCUAUCCUUUCUCUAUUCGUUUCUGAUCCUUACUCAUCCUAACAACCAAUCACAACCCCUAAGCCUAAACCCUAGAAUAACUAAUCCAAAAUCAAAUGACAAUCAAGCUUAGUUUCAGUCAAGGAGCAAAGGGAUUUUGUUCUCUCGAGGAAAAUUGAGAUUUCUGUUAGUUUGGAGGAGAAGUUAGUUAGUUUAAAUUGAUUUUGGAGGGAAUGUGUUAGUAACUGAAUUGGGCAGCUAGGUCAGGUUAGUUAUGAUUUUAGGGCAGCGGGUUGAUAGGUAGUUAAUAGGAAGUCAGCUAGAGGAUAAUUUGUUAGCAAUUCAGUUGACCAUUUAACUGUUUUUUUUACAGUUAAUUUGGUUGAGUUAGUGUUAAUUCUGUUAGGAUCAAUUGCAAGUUUGUUGAAGUGGUUCAGAAUUGGUUAUGAGGAGUUAUUCAUUGGUCAAGUCAGUUUAGAAUUAGUUACAAGGUUUAAUAUAGUUAGGGUUAUAUUAGUUAGUUAGAGUGAGUCAAGUUUGUUAGAGGUGGUUUGGAGAGUUAGUUAAUAGUUAGUUUAAAAGUUCAUUAGAGUGGUAAGUAGGUUGUUAGGUGUUAGAAAUUCUGUUAGAGUUAGGUUAGUAUAGUGUUAGGAAGUUAGUAGUUUGGUUAUUUCUGUUUAUGGCCUUUAGAAAAACAGUUAAGGGUUUGUAUCAGUUAGGUUAAUUGUCAGUUGGAGGGUUAAUGGCAACAAUUAGAGUAAAGGUUAACUGACUAAGAGGUUUAUGACAGUUUGUUUGUGAAGCUGAAGUAUAGAUUCAAUUGAAAUUAGGCUAGUAGAGUAAAAUAAGGUUAGGGUAAGAUUGGAAGUUAGAUUAUUGUGAAGCUGGUUCAAUGCUCUUAGUGAGGUCAAUUGAAAUGGUGUAACAGGUCUGAAAUCUUCAAAACAACGUUGAUUGGUCUAUGUCGUGUACUACAUGAUGCCAAGUUACAAGGCUUAUGGAUCAUGAAGAACUUUGAGGCAUGAUGGAGUGGCCUUGAAGAAUUGAAAAGAAAUAGUCUAGGAAAGAGUGUCGAGUCAAGGUCGAAGGUCCUGGUUCAAAAAGUCAACUAUUGACCAUGAAGUCAACUUUUGAAUUUUGUAUUUUAUUCAAUGUGAUUUUCUUUUUCUUUUUUGUAUUAGCUUUUGCACUUGAAAUUUGAAUGUAUUUGGUUUUGUAACUUGUAACUCAACAUUUGAAUUAGAAAAAGAAGUUUUCCCUC